This 446-nucleotide ribosomal RNA is filed under the name uncultured bacterium. RNAcentral's name for it is "partial 16S ribosomal RNA". It matches the Rfam family "Bacterial small subunit ribosomal RNA", at positions 338 to 795 of the family's 1533-position model. The record is from RNAcentral.
CCUACGGGAGGCAGCAGUCGAGAAUCAUUCACAAUGGGGGAAACCCUGAUGGUGCGACGCCGCGUGGGGGAAUGAAGGUCUUCGGAUUGUAAACCCCUUUCAUGUGGGAGCAAAUUAAAAAGAUAGUACCCCAAGAGGAAGAGACGGCUAACUCUGUGCCAGCAGCCGCGGUAAUACAGAGGUCUCAAGCGUUGUUCGGAAUCACUGGGCGUAAAGCGUGCGGAGGCUGUGUCGUAAGUCGUGUGUGAAAGGCGCGGGCUCAACCCGCGGACGGCACAUGAUACUGCGAGACUAGAGUAAUGGAGGGGGAACCGGAAUUCUCGGUGUAGCAGUGAAAUGCGUAGAUAUCGAGAGGAACACUCGUGGCGAAGGCGGGUUCCUGGACAUUAACUGACGCUGAGGCACGAAGGCCAGGGGAGCGAAAGGGAUUAGAUACCCCAGUAGUC